CUAUAUAAAGAUCACUUGGGUCUUUCAAAUGAUUUUUGCUCCUGCUUACAACUGAGAAUUACUUUCUCUUCACUGACCUUUUCUUCAUUCUCUGAGUUCAGGUGACCUCUAAUUUCACCACCUUCUCUUUUUAUCCGGGUUCGAUGUUUCCUGAUUCAUCAUCAUUUUCGAGUUUCACUUGCCUUUAACAGUUUCUUCGCUUUACCUUUUAUUUAGGUACCAUUUAUAAUCCUUUUUUCUUGAAUUUUACUAAUUUGUUUUCUUGUCUUUUUCAUGACCAAUAUUGAAAAUAUGCCAGCCAACAUGAUAAAUGACCCUGAUGAUGGGGAUUCUUCGUCAUCUACACUAUUUGAAAACUUAAAAAUUCUAAAUGAUGAUCUUUUAGAGGUUAAUCGACUUAACCCCAAUCUUGUCAUGUUUAGCGACAAUUUUGAGUCUGACGAGGGUUCUGUAGAAAGGGGCGAUGAACCCUUUAACACCUUUACUGAGAAGAGUACCGAAUAAUAUUCUAAAGAAGAUGAAGAGAUGAACUUCGGUAACCUUGAUACAAGGGAUGCAGAUGCCAAUCUUUCCUAUUCUAUCAGAGCUCAUAUAGAUUUAGAUGUUGAUAUAACAACUCAGAAUGAACGUCAAACUCACUAUUUUACUAUAACUUUUAGGGAUGAACAUGGUCGAGAUCAUAGAUUAGAGAUCACAUUAAUUUUUAUAGCCAAUUAACAGUUUUGACCGACAUUAUCUUUUUCAUGACCAUCAAGUGGACAUGGUUUGACAUGAGAGUGAUGGUUUGGUGGAGCCGAUUGAUGUUGGUUUAUCCUGCUGGGUGGAUACCUAACUAAUGAUGAUGAUUUCCUUCUACAAAAGUGAAGCUAGAGUGGGUGAUGCUCACGUAGAAGUAUGUCCACCCUCUGACUGACUGAUUUCCCAUGUCGACUCCAACAAGAGGAUUUGUAGUUACUUUGAUAGGUGUUCCAUCCGCUUUUAUGAAUGCAUAUUUCACCAGUUGAAAUUCAAGCUGCCCUUCAAUAGGUUUGAGGAAAGAGUGUUAAAACACUUAAAGCUUGCCCAUUAUCAGCUACACCUGGUAGCUUGGGCAUUUGUUAAAAUGUUUUAGUACUCGUAUGAAUACUAGGAUAAAGAAAUACAUGUGAUCCUCUUAUUUAAUCUUUUCACCGUGACACGACCUCAAAAGAUCCUUUCCAGAGACAAGGAUUGAUCUCGCCACAUUAGACAUCUAAAAUAUUUGUUGUAUAUAUUGAAAGUUGGAAGAAUUUAAAGGAUCACUUCUUUUUGGUGAUUCCGUAAGCUCUAGAGUCCCAUUAUGUAUUAUGCAGGAUCUUUGACAAAAAAAUCUUCCCAACCGGCCCUUUUGCCCUAGAUUCAACUAAAUGUAAAUAUAGGAUUCAAAAGUGUUGGGUAUGAAGCCACUUCAACUGGAAGUCGCGCACAUAUGAUAUUUCUUAGGACUCUCUAAUCCAAAGGAAAUAUUGAUGAAAGAGGAUUUGAUUACUUUAUGGGAGCACUUGGGUUACGAAGAAGGAGCUGACCCUUCACAUGUAAGACCUUUCAUGUAGGUGAGGUGACUCAUUAAUACCCGAGCUGUAGUGGACACAACAAAUGCUCAAGAGAGGAAAUAACUCAUUGAUACCAUGAAGUUCAUCAAGACCAUUUUUAAAAGGAGAAAAGCCAGGACGAAAAUUGACGUGCUCCAUACUCCUCUUCCUACACCAAUUUCAACUCUAGAGAAAAUAACAACGAAAUAACUCUAUGCAGACACUAAGGCUUUGCUCACUGCCCAGACCCAGCCGGAUCACCUUGAGCAGGACAAAAGACGGAGCAAAAAGUCCAAUGAUCGAUCUGCUUCAGCGGCCGAAGGUAACAACAAACGAUACCUGGACAAGAGUCUUGGCAAAGUAGGAGGACCAAAUAAGAGGUCCAAGUCGUCUGGUCCUAACGCUAUAAGGAUUACCAUGAUCAACACUAAAAUCGCUCCUCCCACGUUUCCUACCACUUUUCUCUCUCAGGUGCCUCACACUUCACAGGAAGCAAAAAAUUUGCAUCCCCGAAUGGGACCUUGCUUAUAUCCAGAGACUCUAUGACACAAGUAAGUUAUAAUCGAUGGUGGAGAUGACCUUUCACAUGUUUCAAGGUGAUUCCUUGAUGAAUCUUGCAACUACUAGUUGUGGAGAAACACUUGCUCCAGGUAAUCCUUCUAAAGAUAAGAAGCAAUGGAAGAUAAAGUACGACUCCAUUGCUUAUGAACAAACUUAACUUCAAGAAAAGGUGUCUGAGCUUCAGAAGGAAGUGAAUAGGUUGUCUACUUUUCAAAAGGAGUUGGAUACCCAUGAUGACCCUUUUAAGCUAUCUACUUUGCAGGCAUAUCUGGAGAAUAAAGAAAACUCCCUUGAAUAAGCAAGGACUUCAGAGAAUACAUUGUCCUCUCGGGCCACUGCAGUUGUAGAGGCUCUAAAGAUAGAGAAAGGGGAUCACCAAGAAAAGAUGACGACAUUGAAGAAAGAGCUCGAUGAUGCCAUCGACAAAGACCUUAAAGGAGUUUUUGAUGGUUUCAAGAACACUUGCGACCAAGUGAGGAUGAUGUGAACCUUGACCGCACGCAUAAAGGGACCAUACUAGUUUUUCCGUUGCAUUCUUCACGCUCUUGCAUCACCGUCUUCUUCCUCUUGAUCUACUCAUAGAUUUCAGUUUAAGAGAAAAUGGAAUCAUUGCCUUCGUCGUGCUUAUCAAGAUCCUUCUAUUUUAGAGUAACUAAUUUUCACAAGUUUAAGCAAGAACGUGCAUUACCUCUUCAUCGAAGUGUCUUCCAUUUCAAAAAAAUUGAAGUUCCAGCUACUAGCAAGGAUUGGUACUAUAACACACCGAUCAAAGCUUCAAAUAAGAAACAUAUCACAAAGUUCAAUAUGAAUCUACAUUUAUUCUCAAGAAGCAACAAUGGCGAACCUUGACACCUCACCACAACGUGGACAACCUGAAGUGCAAAACUCUCAAGCUACAUCAAAAAUCACGGCAUUCACAGGUUCAACUAACACUUUUGCUCCAAAACUCUCGAUUAAGCUUCAAGAAAACAACUUCCUAAUAUGGAAUCAACAGGUUGAAGGUGUAAUUAUGUCACACAAACUACACAAGAUUGUGAUAAACCCCCACACUUCACCAAUAUUAAAAAAUGACCAUGGUCAAAUUGAAAACAUUGUGUCUGAAGCCUAUGAGGAAUGGAUUGUGCAAGAUCAAGCUUUGUUCACUUGGUUAUUCUCAACAAUCUCAGAAUAUGUGUUUCCUAGAGUUCUUUCUUGCAAACAUGCUUAUGAGGUGUGGGACAAGAUGCACAAAUACUGUAAUUCUCAGAUGAAGGCACAAGUUCAUCAACUGCGUGCAGAGCUCAAGAUGAGCAAGAAAGGUACCAAAACUACCUUUGAAUUUUUUCUUAGAAUCAUAGUUAUAGCAUACUCACUCAUGGAAAUUAGAGAUCCUAUCUCUGAACACGAUCAAAUUGAUUCCAUUCUCCAAGGCCUCCCCGAAGAGUAAAAUCCAUUCAUCAUGAUGGUGUAUAGAAAAACUGAUCCGAUGGACAUCUAUGAAGUAGAAGGUUUACUGUAUGUUCAUAAGGCCCAACUUGACAAAUAUCGUCAAUAACUUACAUCACCAAAUGUAUUAGCCAACGUUGUUCAAGCAGAUGCGAAUACACAAGCCAACAAUUCACAUAAUUCAGGAGGUUCGAGUUAUUACUCAUGUGGUAGAUGCAAACAUGCUAGAGGAAGAGGCCAAGGCAGAUCCAACUACAACUUCACAAUUGGAAAUCGACCAACUUGUCAACUUUGCAACAAGUAUGGACAUGCAGUAGUGGAUUGCUGGCACAAGUUUGAUGAACAUUUUGAACCUACACAACCUAAGGCUCAAGCUCAAAGCUUUACAUCCACCAAUAACAAUCAAGCUCAAGAAGGAAACAAGAAUUAAGACUUAGCUACUUCUGCUAAUGCAUAUCUAGCUCAUUAGGAUCAACUACAACUACCUCAGGGAUUAGAAUCUCAUACAUGGUUUGCAGACUCAGGCAUCUAGCCAAGUCCUUCUUGAAGGGUUCCUUGAUGCAAGUGCCCUGUAUUGCUUCAACAAUGUGAAGGUGGAAUCCUUAAAGGGUAACUUCCAACACAAGACAUUUGGUGUAGAACCAAUAACUAAUAAUGUAAUAGUUUCCCAAAAUUCUCUUACUAUUGAUAAACAUGAUUGUACUAGCUUAGAUAAAGUUUACCUAUGGAAUUCUAGAUUGCGGCAUGCUCAUCCCGAAGCAAUUCAUAAAGUUCUAAACUUGUGUAACCUACAUGUUAAGAAUAAAAAAACACUUGAUUUCUGUCA
Lathyrus oleraceus (garden pea) is the source of this 4362-nucleotide long non-coding RNA. RefSeq lists it as uncharacterized. The transcript is spliced from 3 exons. The record is from RefSeq and is a predicted model, not a curated record. NCBI's taxonomy places the organism in Eukaryota, Viridiplantae, Streptophyta, Magnoliopsida, Fabales, Fabaceae.